Molecule: ribosomal RNA, 2915 nt
Filed under: Oceanospirillum multiglobuliferum
Lineage: Bacteria; Pseudomonadati; Pseudomonadota; Gammaproteobacteria; Oceanospirillales; Oceanospirillaceae
Description: bacterial LSU rRNA
Rfam family: Bacterial large subunit ribosomal RNA
Source: RNAcentral
GUUAUAUGGUCAAGCAAUUAAGCGCAUACGGUGGAUGCCUAGGCAGUUAGAGGCGAUGAAGGACGUAGAAACCUGCGAUAAGGUUCGGGGAGCUGGUAAACAGGCUUUGAUCCGAACAUUUCCGAAUGGGGAAACCCACCCAGUGUAAGCUGGGUAUCGUUAAGUGAAUACAUAGCUUAACGAGGCGAACCCGGGGAACUGAAACAUCUAAGUACCCGGAGGAAAAGAAAUCAACCGAGAUUCCGAAAGUAGCGGCGAGCGAAAUCGGAUUAGCCCUUAAGCUUUUGUGUGGUUAGUGGAACGCUCUGGGAAGUGCGGCCAUAGUGGGUGAUAGCCCCGUACACGAAAACCUAACUUAAGUGAAAUCGAGUAGGGCGGGACACGUGAAAUCCUGUCUGAACAUGGGGGGACCAUCCUCCAAGGCUAAAUACUACUAACUGACCGAUAGUGAACCAGUACCGUGAGGGAAAGGCGAAAAGAACCCCUGUGAGGGGAGUGAAAUAGAUCCUGAAACCGUAUGCGUACAAGCAGUGGGAGCAGACUUGUUCUGUGACUGCGUACCUUUUGUAUAAUGGGUCAGCGACUUAUUCUCAGUGGCGAGCUUAACCGUCUAGGGGAGGCGUAGGGAAACCGAGUCUUAAUAGGGCGAAUUAGUCGCUGGGAAUAGACCCGAAACCGGGCGAUCUAUCCAUGGGCAGGUUGAAGGUUGGGUAACACUAACUGGAGGACCGAACCGACUACCGUUGAAAAGUUAGCGGAUGACCUGUGGAUCGGAGUGAAAGGCUAAUCAAGCUCGGAGAUAGCUGGUUCUCCUCGAAAGCUAUUUAGGUAGCGCCUCGAGCGAAUACCAUUGGGGGUAGAGCACUGUUAAGGCUAGGGGGUCAUCCCGACUUACCAACCCUUUGCAAACUCCGAAUACCAAUGAGUACUACUCGGGAGACACACGGCGGGUGCUAACGUCCGUCGUGAAAAGGGAAACAACCCAGACCGCCAGCUAAGGCCCCAAAAUCAUAGUUAAGUGGGAAACGAUGUGGGAAGGCUAAAACAGCUAGGAGGUUGGCUUAGAAGCAGCCACCCUUUAAAGAAAGCGUAAUAGCUCACUAGUCGAGUCGGCCUGCGCGGAAGAUGUAACGGGGCUAAAACUAUGUGCCGAAGCUGCGGGAUUGUGCCAUGCACAAUCGGUAGAGGAGCGUUCUGUAAGCCGAUGAAGGUCAAUUGAGAAGUUGGCUGGAGGUAUCAGAAGUGCGAAUGCUGACAUAAGUAACGACAAUGGGAGUGAAAAACUCCCACGCCGGAAGACCAAGGUUUCCUGCGCAACGUUAAUCGGCGCAGGGUGAGUCGGCCCCUAAGGCGAGGCAGAAAUGCGUAGUCGAUGGGAAAUUGGUUAAUAUUCCAAUACCUCUUUAGAGUGCGAUGGGGGGACGGAGAAGGCUAGGCCAGCGCGGCGUUGGUUGUCCGCGUUUAAGCCGGUAGGCUUGCAUCUUAGGAAAAUCCGGGAUGCUCUAUGCCGAGACGUGACGACGAAGGUUCUACGGAACCGAAGUGGUUGAUGCCAUGCUUCCAGGAAAAGCCUCUAAGCUUCAGCUCUAAAGAGACCGUACCCCAAACCGACACAGGUGGUCAGGUAGAGAAUACUAAGGCGCUUGAGAGAACUCGGGUGAAGGAACUAGGCAAAAUGGCACCGUAACUUCGGGAGAAGGUGCGCCGCUGAAGGUGAAGGACUUGCUCCGUAAGCCCUCGGCGGUCGAAGAUACCAGGUGGCUGCGACUGUUUAUUAAAAACACAGCACUGUGCAAACACGUAAGUGGACGUAUACGGUGUGACGCCUGCCCGGUGCUGGAAGGUUAAUUGAUGGGGUUAGCGUAAGCGAAGCUCUUGAUCGAAGCCCCAGUAAACGGCGGCCGUAACUAUAACGGUCCUAAGGUAGCGAAAUUCCUUGUCGGGUAAGUUCCGACCUGCACGAAUGGCGUAACGAUGGCCACGCUGUCUCCACCCGAGACUCAGUGAAAUUGAAAUCGCAGUGAAGAUGCUGUGUAUCCGCGGCUAGACGGAAAGACCCCGUGAACCUUUACUAUAGCUUCACAGUGGACUUUGAUAUUACUUGUGUAGGAUAGCUGGGAGGCUUUGAAACUCGGACGCCAGUUCGUGUGGAGCCAAUCUUGAAAUACCAGCCUGGUAAUAUUGAGGUUCUAACUCUGAUCCAUUAUCUGGAUCGAGGACAUUGUGUGGUGGGUAGUUUGACUGGGGCGGUCUCCUCCCAAAGAGUAACGGAGGAGCACGAAGGUACCCUCAGCACGGUCGGACAUCGUGCAAUGAGUGCAAUCGCAGAAGGGUGCUUAACUGUGAGACUGACACGUCGAACAGAUACGAAAGUAGGUGAUAGUGAUCCGGUGGUUCUGUAUGGAAGGGCCAUCGCUCAACGGAUAAAAGGUACUCCGGGGAUAACAGGCUGAUACCGCCCAAGAGUUCACAUCGACGGCGGUGUUUGGCACCUCGAUGUCGGCUCAUCACAUCCUGGGGCUGAAGCCGGUCCCAAGGGUAUGGCUGUUCGCCAUUUAAAGUGGUACGCGAGCUGGGUUUAGAACGUCGUGAGACAGUUCGGUCCCUAUCUGCCGUGGACGUUUGAGACUUGAGAAGAGCUGCUCCUAGUACGAGAGGACCGGAGUGGACGAACCUCUGGUGUUCCGGUUGUCACGCCAGUGGCAUUGCCGGGUAGCUACGUUCGGACAGGAUAACCGCUGAAAGCAUCUAAGCGGGAAGCCCCCUUCAAGAUGAGGUCUCACUGAAGCCUUGAGCUUCCUAAAGGGCCCUUGAAGACUACAAGGUCGAUAGGCAGGGUGUGUAAGCGUUGUGAGGCGUUGAGCUAACCUGUACUAAUUGCCCGUGAGGCUUGACCAUAUAACACCAAAGCAGUU